GGUGAACGCUGGCGGCGUGCCUAAGACAUGCAAGUCGAGCGGGGCAGGUUUAUACCUGUUCAGCGGCGGACGGGUGAGUAACGCGUGGGUGACCUACCCGGAAGAGGCGGACAACCUGGGGAAACCCAGGCUAAUCCGCCAUGUGGUCCUGUCCUGUGGGGCAGGACUAAAGGGGCGACCCGCUUGCGGAUGGGCCCGCGUCCCAUCAGCGAGUUGGUGGGGUAAAGGCCCACCAAGGCGACGACGGGUAGCCGGUCUGAGAGGGUGGCCGGCCACAGUGGGACGGAGAGACGGCCGAGAGUGGUAAGGGAGGGAGCAGUGGGGAAUAUUGCACAAGGGGCGGAAGCCGGAGGAAGCAAGGCGGCGGGCGGGAUGAGGGCCUUCGGGUUGGAAACAGCUUUCGCCUGUGACGAAGCGUGAGGGACGGUAAUGGGUAAAGAAGCACCGGAUAACUAGGUG
RNAcentral lists this ribosomal RNA (459 nucleotides) under uncultured bacterium. RNAcentral's name for it is "partial 16S ribosomal RNA". It matches the Rfam family "Bacterial small subunit ribosomal RNA", at positions 28 to 507 of the family's 1533-position model. The record is from RNAcentral.